Acinonyx jubatus (cheetah) is the source of this 4256-nucleotide long non-coding RNA. RefSeq lists it as uncharacterized. Lineage: Eukaryota; Metazoa; Chordata; Mammalia; Carnivora; Felidae. The record is from RefSeq and is a predicted model, not a curated record. The transcript is spliced from 4 exons.
GGCUCGACUUAGCCGGAAGUCCCACCUCUUUCUGGACGCCCGCGAUUUGGCGCCGCCAGGAAGGGGCCCAAUGAGGGAUGUUGUGGCGGCGGAGGAGUCUCGGAAGACACUCGGAGGGAUGCGUGAUUUGAGAAUCUCCAUUUGGUCUUUGAGCCUGUCUGUUCUGUGACCCCUGGGAUAGCUUGGCUUGCAGUGUACUUGGAGGCCACCAUUGCAUCAAGACAGAGAGAGACAGAGCAUGAACGGGGGAGGGGCAGAGAGAGAGGAAGACACAGAAUCGGAAGCAGGCUCCAGGCUCUGAGCCAUUAGCCCAGAGCCCGACGCGGGGCUCGAACUCACGGAUCGUGACCUGAGCUGAAGUCGGACGCUUAACCGACUGAGCCACCCAGGUGCCCCAGGGCAUUACUUUUCAAUAGCCCAAUCUCAUUUAGAAAUUUUCAUGGAUGUUUCUCUUGGUUUAAAAAGAAAACUGGAACCGCUUGAAGGAAUUUAGGUCCAUCUUGGAGGCUCCUGAAGGACUAUGAUAUCCUAGUGCAUUGUUAUGCACUCCAAAUACAACUUCCUCCCUAGAAUUAAUUGAUAAAUUGGAGACAGUGGUAGGACAUGAUUAGAAGACUGCAUUGCAAGCUUCUGGAAGGCUGGGACUAUGCCUGCCUCAUUUUCCAUCCCUAUCUCAGCAUAGUGCUGCUCAGUAAACAUAGUGGUGCUCAGUAAACACAUGCUGAAUAAAUGCCAAGUGAAGCCUUGUCCAUGCGGUUAUAUAUGGAACACUCAGAAGGCAUUGCUGAUUUGGGAAAUCAGUAAACUCUCCAUGACAGGGCUAAAACUAAAGAGAUCCUGAGGACUGCUUGAAGCUGUCUUCAAAGGGUGGGAGCUGAUCAAAAGCUUGCAAAUCAUUUGCAUCCUUAGUAUAAACAAUCGGUACAAGUGUGAUAGAAUGCUAUAGUGAAGGUGGCAGUUUUGGAAAGGUGGGUGGUGAUUUACUGUGAAAACAUUAAAAGGAGAGGACAGGGACAAUAAGGAACUUGAGAACCAAAAAUGGGUCAGGAAUUGGGUAUGCACUCAUGAGGUUGUAUGAGUCAGAGAACUAAAUUCAAACCCAAAAUUCUAGUGGCUUAAUAUACUAAGAAUAUUUGCUGCUAGGGAGUGCAAAUUCAUACGCACUGUUUUGAGGGUAAUUUGGUAAUGUGCUAACAACCAACUAUGUGCCAGGACUUAAAAGAAUUAAUUCCUUUGCUUCUCUCAAUAGUCCUGAGUUAGGUCCUAAUUUUAACUUCAUCAUACAGAUGGGGACUGUUGAGAUGAAGUAACUCAUCCAAGAACAUACAGCCGUGAGCAGCAGUGCAGUCUUUAAAUGCAGGUAGUUUAGCUUUGGAGGCCAGGCUUGCAACCCCUACAUUGAUCUCUGUGUGUAGUAAGAGGUAAGAACUUUCUGAUGAGAUUGGACCUAUUCAGGGUAGUACGGCUGUAGACAAAGAGCCCUCUGAAUUAUAUUUGUCAUUUUAUGAAUUUAUUCCAAGGGUACAUAAUCAAAUAUAUUUCUAAAAAUAUUUUUAUUACAAUCUGGAUUGUGUGGUAAAAAAUUAUAAGCCUCCAAAGUGAGGCAGCAAAUUAUAGGUGUUAAGACUCCAAGAGUCCUGGAGUCAGUUCUGGGCCAGAUCCUGUCUCUUUCACUUCAUCAUGGGUUGUUAACACUGGCCCACUCCAAACUUCUGCAAAAUUAGAAUGGGAACGGGCCUACCUCACAGGAAUUUAAAAUAAGGAAAUGCUGCUUUCUGAAUGGCUCAAGAUGUGACUUUCUCUACAAAAACUAAAAUUCUUUGAAACCCCUCAAAUUUAUAAUGUAAUUAUAAUAAAUUACACACACACACACAUAUGUAUGUAAUAAAGCAGUGACAGAACUGAUCACUUUUCAGUGAAUUAAAAUUUGGGAAACUUGAAAGAAAUUGUAAAGAGUGAAAAUUCUAAGAAUCUAGAGCAGCUCUGAUGAGAUGAUGGAUGUCCAAACUGUCUCUUUCUAACAUCUAUCUGCAUUUUACAUAGAUCAACAAUCUGUGACUGUGGCGAUGAGGUUGCAUCUGCAGAGACAAGGCCUACUGUUGUUCCACUUUACUUCAAAGAUGCAAGGCUGCUAUGCAUGCUGCUUUUUUGGUUUUUGGUUCUAGAAAUUAUUCUGCUUCUACACCAUUUUAAUGUUGGUGUAGUUUCUAAGUUCCACUACCAGGAGUGUAAAAAGAAAUACACAGCAUUGAGGCAGCAAUAUUUUAGGUGGAAGAGUGGUUUUUGAUCCCACCUCUCUUACGUUAGUCCACCAAGUGAAACAUUUAGUUUUCUGUGUAUUGAUGGAACAAAAUGGAGGACAGUGCUUUAAAACUUUUAUCUUUAAUGUAACUGAUUUUUACUAUUGUAUUGCCUUUCUCUUCAGUUUAGAAAGAUAAAAAGAAAAAAAAUUACAGAGGAAACUAUAUUUCUAUUUCAAUAUUUUGAACAAAGAAAUCUAUUGAGGCUUUGACAUGUUUUAGAAACCACCCACAUGGGGGCUCCUGGGUGGCUUGGUUGGUUAAGCGUCUGACUUAGGUCCAGGUCAUGGUCUCGAGCUCCAUGGGUUUAAGCCCUAUGUCAGGCUCUGUGCCGACAGCUCAGAGCCUGGAGCCUGCUUCAGAUUCUGUGUCUUCCUCUCUCUUUGCCCCUCCCCUGCUUGUGCUCUGUCUGUCUGCCUCUCUCUCUUUCUCUCUCUCUCUCUCUCCCUCUCUCUCUCUGUCUCAAAAAUAAAUAUUAAAAAAAAUUUUUUUUUAAAGAAACCACUGACAUGAAUAAAAAAAAAGUUUGCUGCUUCUUAAGAUGCAUUGAAAGAAACUUCAAAAUACAAGGAAAUAUAUGACAGUUAUCUUAUGAUUCCUAAAAUUUGGGGGACUCAUUUAAGGUGAGGGUGCCAGAGAAAAUUUUGCCAAACAGAAACAUGAGCCUAGAUCGGCUGGUCCUGAUGACCUAUUAUACUGGCAACAGUAUAGGAACUGCAUUCUGGAAACUGCUGCUCCCAUUUUGAGUUUUUGGACAACUUUUAAGUGAGGGUUCUUCCUCCAUAAUCUUCUUUCUGAGUUAGAUUGAAACUCUUUUUGAUUCCACUCCAGAUUUUACUUUUGGUCCAGGGUCACUGGUUGCUGGCUGAAGACAGCAGGUGGCAGAUGCUUUAAAGACACAUUGCACAAAGGAGAGUACAGGGUGUGUACAGGGGAAGAGAGACAGACAAAUGCUCAAUAUACAAUUGUGGAUGUUUGCACAUCUCAGUUUUGUUAUUGAGGGAGUACUGCUUUUUAGAAAAAAAGUACCCCUAUUAGGAUCCAGUCAGGUAAAUAGUACCCACACGAGGUAGUACAAUAGAUGGAAUUUAAUAUAGGAAUUUGCUACAAAGGUCCUGAAAUCUGGGGCCGCCACUAGUUCCUGUCCAUAGUGUCUUUUUUUUUUUCUUUAAUGUUUAUUUAUUUUUGAGAGAGAGAGAGAGAGAGAGUGCGCGCACGAGCUGGGGAGGGGCAGAGAGAGAGGGAAACACAGAAUCUGAAGCAGGCUCCAGGCCCUGCACAGAGCCCCAUGCGGGCCGAACCCACUAUCCAUGAGAUCAUGAACUGACCCAAAGUCGGAUGCUUAACCAACUGAGCCACCCAGGUGCCCCUGUCCAUAGUGUCUUUAUCAUCAAGCUGUUUCUUUCAUUUAGGGAAUAAUGAAGUAAACAGGUCUUUGACAGUUGCUUCUUUCUUAAGAAUAUUAUUUCCCACCUACAUUAUUUAAGAUGUGUGUGAUACAGUAAAACUCUUAUUUACUUUUCCUAUUAGGCAAGGCAUACUAAGAAAAAAAACAAAAAAAGAGAACAACCUUAAGUAAUAAAAUUAGCAUUGCACAUUUUAGAAAUAAAGAACACAAAGAGAAAACUUUAAAAUAUGAUUUAUUCUACCAGCCAGAAAUAAUUCUUUCGAUUUUUAGUUGAAAAGCUUACAGAAAAACCUGUAUGGGUUCAUAGUCUUGUCAAUAGUUUUGUUUUAUUACCAUUGAACAUAUUUUGUUUUCUUCAUAGUUCAUUAAAUAUUCUUAAGAAACUGUCCCUUUGGUGGUUUUAAUGUUUCUCAAGACUAAAUUUCUUUCCCAUUUAUGUACUAUUGGACAUUGAGUCUGUACCAACUCUGCUAUUUCAAAUAAAUGUUAAGUCUUGUAAAUAAGCUUUUCCUGCCUCUUUGUUUCCAAACUCAAGCAAAGUCUUCUUA